Molecule: ribosomal RNA, 463 nt
Filed under: uncultured bacterium
Lineage: Bacteria
Description: bacterial SSU rRNA
Rfam family: Bacterial small subunit ribosomal RNA
Source: RNAcentral
UUAUCCGGAUUUACUGGGUGUAAAGGGAGCGUAGACGGAGCAGCAAGUCUGAUGUGAAAACCCGGGGCUCAACCCCGGGACUGCAUUGGAAACUGUUGAUCUGGAGUGCCGGAGAGGUAAGCGGAAUUCCUAGUGUAGCGGUGAAAUGCGUAGAUAUUAGGAGGAACACCAGUGGCGAAGGCGGCUUACUGGACGGUAACUGACGUUGAGGCUCGAAAGCGUGGGGAGCAAACAGGAUUAGAUACCCUGGUAGUCCACGCCGUAAACGAUGACUACUAGGUGUCGGGUGGCAAAGCCAUUCGGUGCCGCAGCCAACGCAAUAAGUAGUCCACCUGGGGAGUACGUUCGCAAGAAUGAAACUCCAAAGGGAAUUGACGGGGACCCGCACAAGCGGUGGAACAUGUGGUUUAAUUCCAAGCAACGCCAAGAACCUUACCUGCUCUUGGACAUCCCGGUGACGGCA